GUACUUGAUAAGAAUGUGAUCAAUGAUUUUGUAAAAAUUUGACGUUAAAAACAUUAAAAGAAUUUAAAUAUAUAAAAAAAUAAGAAAUUAAUCAUAUCACAGAUAUGGUUUAAAUUGAUGCAUCUCUUUCUGCCUCUAACGGCAAGAGAAAGAUGUAUUGCAUGGAAACGCAAAAGUGAUCCCAUCAACCACUUGAAACUUCUCGUGGUAAUAUAUAUAUACUUAUACUAAAAUAUAUAUUUAGGUUUAGAUUAUUAAAUUAAGGAAAAAUGACAUAAACUAACAACUUUAAGACAAUAAUUAUAAGUAAUAGCAAUAGUUUUCCAAAAUUACAACUAUUAACAAAAGUAGCAAUAUUUUACAUUUUUAUUUAACUGAAGCGUGACAUCCACUCUCUUUUUUUCACACUUCUUUACCUUCUGUUUACCUAUUUUCACGCCACAAACAAAGAUUCAAUUCCCUCCAAUAUCUUCUUCGGCUAUUUUUUUUUCAAAAGCCCCAAAUUUCUUCCUAAAUCUUGAUAAACCUUGUUUCCACCUUUUAUGCCAAAGAAAAGUUACAAGAGUUGAGUUCAAAGAAGCGAAACGAUCCCCAAAAGUCUGUUGAAAUAAUGAAACGGAAAGCAGUGAGGAAUCUUUGUCCCCCAAAUUCAAAAAAAAAAUCAAAAAACAGCAAAAAAGAGAAAGCUCGAUGAAAAAUCUCAUUCAAGCCCAAUUUCAUCAGAUUAUGAAUUGUCAUCUGAAGAAGAGAAAGUAGAAGAGGUAUUGUUGCAUUUGCAAAAUUUUGUAGUUUAUGUACAAUAUAUUAAUAUAUGUAUUUUAUAUAUGCAAUUAAUAAGUUGUGUGCUUAUUUUAGCUUUCAGUCAAGUUAUUAAAUUUGUAGUUCUUAAUGUGAAGAUCUAUGUAUGUUAUGUUAUAGAUACGUAAUAGUGAAAAUUUAUGGGAUUUG
Long non-coding RNA from Capsicum annuum, 948 nucleotides. RefSeq lists it as uncharacterized. The transcript has 2 exons. Lineage: Eukaryota; Viridiplantae; Streptophyta; Magnoliopsida; Solanales; Solanaceae. The record is from RefSeq and is a predicted model, not a curated record.